Trichomycterus rosablanca is the source of this 1234-nucleotide long non-coding RNA. RefSeq lists it as uncharacterized. The transcript is spliced from 3 exons. The record is from RefSeq and is a predicted model, not a curated record. NCBI's taxonomy places the organism in Eukaryota, Metazoa, Chordata, Actinopteri, Siluriformes, Trichomycteridae.
GAGAGAAAGUGAGGCAGAGUGUGCGCGAGCCCUGCAGGUGGAGAAGCCUGGUGCUGCCACUGUCUCAUGCAGUGGGUGAGAGGUGUUCUCCAUGAAGCAUGACAGCUUGGCCAUCAUCGCUCUUACCCCUACUGCCUCCACUGAGUCCAGUCUGCUGUCGUCAGGGGCAGGUGCACUGGGGCCCAUGGCUGGGGGGGACCCACUACGACAUGAACUCAAUCCCCAUUGCACUGCCCCCCCCCCAUUGGCUGCAGUCACCAGAUUUGCCAGCUCCUCUGCUGGGAAACCUGCUUUUCUCCUAAAAACAUGAUGCCUGUUGGAUCCGGUGAUGUUAGCACACUUUUUCCGUCAUCAUGAGGGAACCGGCCACUCAUUUUUCUCAAAGACUCGAAGAAAAGAAAACUCCCUUUAAUUCAAAACUACUGAUACUGACAAGCUUUUGCACUUGAGCUUUGGUGCCAAGGUAUCAGCAGUACCAACACUUUGUUCUGCACUUUUACACAUGCUAUACCAACAGCUGAUCUAAUAACAAGGCUUCUUACAAGACUUUGACAUAUGUCUUUAGGAAUUUGUGACCACACAUGGGUGCAUAUAGGACUGGCAAAAAUCUAAAACUAAAAUAAAUCUAAAACUAGCCAAUGCAUCUAAUGCAGUAACACACCCCGGACAGGACACCAAUACAUCGAGGAGCCUCAAGAGACCAUACAGAGCCAAUCAUAUCUGUAUGUAAAUGCAGAGGAUUCGAACCCCGCGGUAAUUCACCACUGCUUGACAAAAACAGCCUAUUAUUUUGUGUAUUUCAGAAAUUAAGAAACACUAGGGAUCCACAAAAUGUUGAUUUUUUUUUUCUCAAACAAUUAACAAAGGCAAGCCAAAUUACAUCUCAUUCAAAGACCACGUCCCAGUACGAUUUGAUUAAAAAGCCUGGUUGGGAAACAACCCAAUCUGGCGUAAGUAAAUUCUUGUUGACUGUGUUAUUGUACUCAAACACAGCUGAACAAGCUCUUCCAUUUGUUCCAAUUUGAAAAUAUGUAUUUUCAAUACAUAUUUAAUUCUUACUGGCUGGAUAUGAUACUAACAAAUGUUAGUUCUUGGUGACAAAAUAUAUUUUUUGUAGACUGUGUCAGAUUUACUGGUUUUAAGUAUUUCUUUAAUUUGCUUUGUGCAAUGAAAGUACCAAUAAUUGCAAUGGCAAAUAAAGUUAUACAGUGAUAUAUACUGUGGUACCUAGAAA